RNAcentral lists this ribosomal RNA (264 nucleotides) under uncultured archaeon. RNAcentral's name for it is "partial 16S ribosomal RNA". It matches the Rfam family "Archaeal small subunit ribosomal RNA", at positions 717 to 982 of the family's 1478-position model. The record is from RNAcentral.
AGACGUCUACAUUAGAUACCCGGGUAGUCCCAGCCGUAAACUAUGCGCGUUAGGUGUAUCGGUGACCACGAGUCACCGAGGUGCCGAAGGGAAACCGUGAAACGUGCCGCCUGGGAAGUACGGUCGCAAGGCUGAAACUUAAAGGAAUUGGAGGGGAGCACCACAACGGGUGGAGCCUGCGGUUUAAUUGGACUCAACGCCGGGAAGCUCACCGGAUAAGACAGCGGAAUGAUUGCCGGGCUGAAGACUCUGCAUGACUAGCUG